This 424-nucleotide ribosomal RNA is filed under the name uncultured bacterium. RNAcentral's name for it is "partial 16S ribosomal RNA". It matches the Rfam family "Bacterial small subunit ribosomal RNA", at positions 360 to 776 of the family's 1533-position model. The record is from RNAcentral.
AAUCUUCCGCAAUGGACGAAAGUCUGACGGAGCAACGCUGCGUGAGUGAUGAAGGUUUUCGGAUCGUAAAACUCUGUUGUUAGGGAAGAACAAGUACAAGAGUAACUGCUUGUACCUUGACGGUACCUAACCAUAAAGCCACGGCUAACUACGUGCCAGGAGCCGCGGUAAUAAGUAGGUGGCAAGCGUUGUCCUGAAUUAUUGGGCGUAAAGAGCCGGCCGGCGGUCCUUUAAGUCUGAUGUGAAAGCCCACGGCUCAACCGUGGAGGGUCAUUGGAAACUGGGGGACUUGAGUGCAGAAGAGAAGAGUGGAAUUCCACGUGUAGCGGUGAAAUGCGUAGAGAUGUGGAGGAACACCAGUGGCGAAGGCGACUCUUUGGUCUGUAACUGACGCUGAGGCGCGAAAGCGUGGGGAGCAAACAGG